AUACGUAGGUGGCGAGCGUUGUCCGGAAUUACUGGGUGUAAAGGGCGUGUAGGCGGGGAUGCAAGUCAGAUGUGAAAUUCCGGGGCUCAACCCCGGCACUGCAUCUGAAACUGUGUCUCUUGAGUGCUGGAGAGGAAAGUGGAAUUCCGAGUGUAGCGGUGAAAUGCGUAGAGAUUAGGAGGAACACCAGUGGCGAAGGCGACUUUCUGGACAGUAACUGACGCUGAGGCGCGAGAGCGUGGGGAGCAAACAGGAUUAGAUACCCUGGUAGUCCACGCCGUAAACGAUGGAUACUAGGUGUAGGAGGUAUCGACCCCUUCGGUGCCGGAGUUAACACGAUAAGUAUCCCACCUGGGGAGUACGGCCGCAAGGCUGAA
RNAcentral lists this ribosomal RNA (377 nucleotides) under uncultured bacterium. RNAcentral describes it as "bacterial SSU rRNA". It matches the Rfam family "Bacterial small subunit ribosomal RNA", at positions 523 to 898 of the family's 1533-position model. The record is from RNAcentral.